CCUGGCGGCUUUAGCGCGGUGGUCCCACCUGACCCCAUGCCGAACUCAGAAGUGAAACGCCGUAGCGCCGAUGGUAGUGUGGGGUCUCCCCAUGUGAGAGUAG
This 103-nucleotide ribosomal RNA is filed under the name Enterobacter cloacae. Lineage: Bacteria; Pseudomonadati; Pseudomonadota; Gammaproteobacteria; Enterobacterales; Enterobacteriaceae. RNAcentral also lists the same sequence under 5 other names. The record is from RNAcentral.